RNAcentral lists this ribosomal RNA (168 nucleotides) under Girella leonina. Its description in RNAcentral is "partial 12S ribosomal RNA". The record is from RNAcentral. Lineage: Eukaryota; Metazoa; Chordata; Actinopteri; Centrarchiformes; Girellidae.
CACCGCGGUUAUACGAGAGACCCAAGUUGAUAAGGUACGGCGUAAAGAGUGGUUAAGAUUGACUAAAAACUAAAGCCGAAUGCCCUCAAAGCUGUUAUACGCCCCCGAAGGUAAGAAGACCAACCACGAAAGUGACUUUACACUACUGAACCCACGAAAGCUAGGUUA